RNAcentral lists this ribosomal RNA (273 nucleotides) under uncultured bacterium. RNAcentral's name for it is "partial 16S ribosomal RNA". It matches the Rfam family "Bacterial small subunit ribosomal RNA", at positions 524 to 796 of the family's 1533-position model. The record is from RNAcentral.
UACGUAGGUGGCAAGCGUUGUCCGGAUUUAUUGGGCGUAAAGGGCGCGCAGGCGGUCCGUUAAGUCUGAGGUGAAAUCUCCUGGCUCAACUGGGAGGGGUCUUCAGAUACUGGCGGACUUGAGGAGUGCAGAGGUGAGUGGAAUUCUCGGUGUAGUGGUGAAAUGCGUAGAUAUCGAGAGGAACACCAGUGGCGAAGGCGGCUCACUGGGCACCACCUGACGCUGAGGCGCGAAAGCGUGGGGAGCGAACCGGAUUAGAAACCCGGGUAGUCC